UACGGGGGGAGCAAGCGUUGUUCGGAUUUACUGGGCGUAAAGGGCGCGUAGGCGGUCGUGACGAGUCACUUGUGAAAUCUCCGGGCUUAACUCGGAACGGUCAAGUGAUACUGUCGGACUAGAGUACAGAAGGGGCAACUGGAAUUCUCGGUGUAGCGGUGAAAUGCGUAGAUAUCGAGAGGGACACCUGCGGCGAAGGCGGGUUGCUGGGCUGAUACUGACGCUGAGGCGCGAAAGCCAGGGGAGCGAACGGG
This 254-nucleotide ribosomal RNA is filed under the name uncultured bacterium. RNAcentral describes it as "partial 16S ribosomal RNA". It matches the Rfam family "Bacterial small subunit ribosomal RNA", at positions 524 to 776 of the family's 1533-position model. The record is from RNAcentral.